GGAGAGGUGGCAGAGUGGUUUAAUGCGCUCGCUUGGAAAGCGUGUAAGGGCUAACACCCUUCGAGGGUUCGAAUCCCUCCCUCUCCGCCA
This 90-nucleotide transfer RNA is filed under the name Gammaproteobacteria bacterium. Its description in RNAcentral is "tRNA-Ser". It matches the Rfam family "tRNA". Rfam says of the family: Transfer RNA (tRNA) molecules are approximately 80 nucleotides in length. The record is from RNAcentral. Lineage: Bacteria; Pseudomonadati; Pseudomonadota; Gammaproteobacteria.